Molecule: ribosomal RNA, 1312 nt
Filed under: uncultured bacterium
Lineage: Bacteria
Description: bacterial SSU rRNA
Rfam family: Bacterial small subunit ribosomal RNA
Source: RNAcentral
AAAACAUUUGAGUGAGUGGCGGACGGGUGAGUAACACGUGGGUAACCUGCCCUAAAGUGGGGGAUAACAUUUGGAAACAGAUGCUAAUACCGCAUAAAACCUAACACCGCAUGGUGUAGGGUUGAAAGAUGGUUUCGGCUAUCACUUUAGGAUGGACCCGCGGUGCAUUAGUUAGUUGGUGAGGUAAAGGCUCACCAAGACCGUGAUGCAUAGCCGACCUGAGAGGGUAAUCGGCCACACUGGGACUGAGACACGGCCCAGACUCCUACGGGAGGCAGCAGUAGGGAAUCUUCCACAAUGGACGAAAGUCUGAUGGAGCAACGCCGCGUGAGUGAAGAAGGUUUUCGGAUCGUAAAACUCUGUUGUUGGAGAAGAAUGUAUCUGAUAGUAACUGAUCAGGUAGUGACGGUAUCCAACCAGAAAGCCACGGCUAACUACGUGCCAGCAGCCGCGGUAAUACGUAGGUGGCAAGCGUUGUCCGGAUUUAUUGGGCGUAAAGCGAGCGCAGGCGGUUUCUUAAGUCUGAUGUGAAAGCCUUCGGCUCAACCGAAGAAGUGCAUCGGAAACUGGGAAACUUGAGUGCAGAAGAGGACAGUGGAACUCCAUGUGUAGCGGUGAAAUGCGUAGAUAUAUGGAAGAACACCAGUGGCGAAGGCGGCUGUCUGGUCUGUAACUGACGCUGAGGCUCGAAAGCAUGGGUAGCAAACAGGAUUAGAUACCCUGGUAGUCCAUGCCGUAAACGAUGAGUGCUAGGUGUUGGAGGGUUUCCGCCCUUCAGUGCCGCAGCUAACGCAUUAAGCACUCCGCCUGGGGAGUACGACCGCAAGGUUGAAACUCAAAGGAAUUGACGGGGGCCCGCACAAGCGGUGGAGCAUGUGGUUUAAUUCGAAGCAACGCGAAGAACCUUACCAGGUCUUGACAUCCUUUGACCACUCUAGAGAUAGAGCUUUCCCUUCGGGGACAAAGUGACAGGUGGUGCAUGGUUGUCGUCAGCUCGUGUCGUGAGAUGUUGGGUUAAGUCCCGCAACGAGCGCAACCCUUAUUACUAGUUGCCAGCAUUUAGUUGGGCACUCUAGUGAGACUGCCGGUGACAAACCGGAGGAAGGUGGGGACGACGUCAAAUCAUCAUGCCCCUUAUGACCUGGGCUACACACGUGCUACAAUGGAUGGUACAACGAGUUGCGAGACCGCGAGGUUUAGCUAAUCUCUUAAAACCAUUCUCAGUUCGGAUUGUAGGCUGCAACUCGCCUACAUGAAGCCGGAAUCGCUAGUAAUCAAGGAUCAGCAUGCCGCGGUGAAUACGCUCCCGGGC